Molecule: ribosomal RNA, 625 nt
Filed under: uncultured fungus
Lineage: Eukaryota; Fungi
Description: eukaryotic LSU rRNA
Rfam family: Eukaryotic large subunit ribosomal RNA
Source: RNAcentral
CCCGCUGAACUUAAGCAUAUCAAUAAGCGGAGGAAAAGAAACCAACAGGGAUUGCCUCAGUAACUGCGAGUGAAGCGGCAACAGCUCAAAUUUGAAAUCUGGCUCUUUUAGGGUCCGAGUUGUAAUUUGUAGAGGAUGCUUCGGCGACGGCGCCGGCCUAAGUUCCUUGGAACAGGACGACAUAGAGGGUGAGAAUCCCGUAUGUGAUGGGUGGCCCUUGUCAUGUGAAGCUCCUUCGAAGAGUCGAGUUGUUUGGGAAUGCAGCUCUAAAUGGGAGGUAAAUUUCUUCUAAAGCUAAAUACUGGCCAGAGACCGAUAGCGCACAAGUAGAGUGAUCGAAAGAUGAAAAGCACUUUGGAAAGAGAGUCAAAAAGUACGUGAAAUUGUUGAAAGGGAAGCGCUUGCGACCAGACCUGCCUGCAGGUGCUCAUCCGGGCUUUUGCCCGGUGCACUCUUCUGCUGACAGGCCAGCAUCAGUUCGGGCGGUCGGAUAAAGGCUUCGGGAAUGUAUCUCCUCUCGAGGAGUGUUAUAGCCCGCUGCGCAAUGCCGCCAGCUUGAACUGAGGUCCGCGCUUCGGCUAGGAUGCUGGCGUAAUGGUCGUAAGCGACCCGUCUUGAAACACGG